UCUUAGAUAUAAAUUAACCUUAUUUUACCAGAGUACUACGAACAUUAAGUUUAAAACUCAAAGAGCUUGGCGGUGCUUUAGACUCCUCAGGGGAACCUGUCCCAUAAUCGACAGUCCACGAACCAACCUCACCUUCUCUAGUAAAUCAGUAUGUAUACCGUCGUCGUCAGGUAACUUUUCAAAAUAUAGAAGUUAGCAAUUAAAAAAAUUAAUUUUCCACGUCAGAUCAAGGUGCAGCCCACGAAAAGGAGUGGAUGGGUUACAAUUAAUAUUUAUAAUCACGAAUUUAGCUUUUAACAAGUUUCUGAAGGCGGACUUGAAAGUAAACCCUAGCAACCAAAUGUUUUGAAUUAAGCUCUGAAGCG
This 365-nucleotide ribosomal RNA is filed under the name Littoraria pallescens. RNAcentral describes it as "partial 12S ribosomal RNA". The record is from RNAcentral. Lineage: Eukaryota; Metazoa; Mollusca; Gastropoda; Littorinimorpha; Littorinidae.